Molecule: ribosomal RNA, 430 nt
Filed under: Blastocystis sp.
Lineage: Eukaryota; Bigyra; Opalinata; Blastocystidae
Description: partial small subunit ribosomal RNA
Rfam family: Bacterial small subunit ribosomal RNA
Source: RNAcentral
CAUGGGUAGCAAACAGGAUUUGGUACCCUGGUAGUCCAUGCUAUAAACAAUGAAUAUUAAAUGUUUAAUAUAAAAUUUAACAUAAAAAGUUAACACGUUAAAUAUUUCGCCUGGGGAGUAAAACCGCAAGGUUGAAACUCAAAGGAAUUGACGGGAGCUUAUACUUACGGUGGAGCAUGUGGUUUAAUCCGAUAGUCCGCGUGGAAUCUUACCAAUUUUUGACAGUCCUAAGUUAUAUCUAGGAAACAGGUGUUGCAUGGCCGUCGUCAGCUUAUGUUUUGAAAUUUAAGAUAUAAGUACAACCCUUACUUUAAUUUACUAAUAUUCAAAAAAAUUAAAAAUAUUUAAUUAUAUUGAAUAAGUACUAUUAAAUUUGAAAUAUGUAAAUAUUUUAAAGGAUGAAGAUAGGUCGUUAUGACCCUUAUAAAUU